Molecule: long non-coding RNA, 363 nt
Organism: Malaclemys terrapin pileata
Lineage: Eukaryota; Metazoa; Chordata; Testudines; Emydidae
Exons: 4
Source: RefSeq, a predicted model, not a curated record
CGUGUUCCCGCCGUGUGCCGCCCCAGCGCUGCAGAGCGCAGACCCCACCAACCCGACGAGAAAACCCCCAAUGACCACAGACUCUAGUCAGGGUAACCGACCCCCCUCUUUGUGAUGGGCUGAGGAGUCCGGCUGCCAAGUGGACCCGGGCCACCUCCUCAGCUGGUAGAAACGGACACAGCUCUCCUGAAGUCAAUGGAGCUAUUCUGAUCUACAGCCGUUUGUCUAGCUUGUACUCUCCAUCCACCUUGCAGCAGCUUCUCUCAGUUCUAUGCCGCUGCCACGACUCUGGAACCUGGUGCACAAACCUGCUCGUUGGAGGAUUGCUUCUCUAAGGGAUUGGACAGGAGGCCUCUGGGCAGC